GGUUUAUUGGAUCGUACCCGUUAAAUGGAUAACUGUAAUAACUCUAGAGCUAAUACAUGCCACGAUGCCCUGACUCCGCCUGCCAGCUUGGUAGGUUGGGGAAUGGGUGCACUUAUUAGAUCAGAAGCCAACCAGUGUAGCGUCACAGUCGCCUUGGUGGCUGUGGUGUGAGCUGUAGAACUUCUGGUGACUCUGGAUAAUUGUUACAGAUCGCAGUCGGCCAUGAGUCGGCGACGGGUCCUUCAAAUGUCUGCCCUAUCAACUUUCGAUGGUAGGUGACCUGCCUACCAUGGUGAUAACGGGUAACGGGGAAUCAGGGUUCGAUUCCGGAGAGGGAGCCUGAGAAACGGCUACCACUUCCAAGGGAGGCAGCAGGCGCGCAAAUUACCCACUCCCAGCACGGGGAGGUGGUGACGAAAAAUACCGAUGCGGGACUCCUUUAUGAGGCUCCGUAAUCGGAAUGAGUGGACUCUAAAUCCUUUCACGAGGAAUCAAUUGGAGGGCAAGUCUGGUGCCAGCAGCCGCGGUAACUCCAGCUCCAAUAGCGUAUAUUAAAGUUGCUGCAGUUAAAAAGCUCGUAGUUGGAUCUCGGUAGCAUUGUUGCCUGCGGAUAUUUGGACGUCGGUGUGUGGCUCUCCCCAGAUGCGUACACACUGGUAUUGGGUAGGGGUAUGAAAAUUAUUCUUGCUUGGUUUCUGGUGUGUGCGCCCUGGGGGGUUGUCAUCGAAGAGCACCGUCGUGCCAAGUCCGCAAGGCGACGGUGUCACCUUUAAGCCAUGUCUGUGGUCUUACGGCCGCAGGUGUAGGCGGGUGUCGGGCGGCGCCCUGCACUAGUGUGGGGCCUAGUCGGCUCGUCUGCAUGCCUUUGGAUGCCCUUUACCGGGUGUCUGUGGGCGGAUGGCACGUUUACUUUGAACAAAUUUGAGUGCUCAAAUCAGGCCGAUGUUGCCUGAAAAGUUUUGCAUGGAAUAAUGGAAUAGGACUUCGGUUCUAUUUCGUUGGUUUUCGGAUCCGAAGUAAUGAUCAAAAGAGACAGGCGGGGACGUUUGUAUGGCUGCGAUAGAGGUGAAAUUCUUUGACCGUAGCCAGACAAACUAAAGCGAAAGCAUUCGUCAAGCAUGUUUUCAUUGGCCAUGAGCGAAAGUCAGAGGCUCGAAGACGAUCAGAUACCGUCCUAGUUCUGACCAUAAACGAUGCCAACUGACGAUCCGUGGUGGUAGUUCUCUAACCUUCCCCACGGGCAGUCCCCGGGAAACCUUUAAGUCUAUGGGUUCCGGGGGAAGUAUGGUUGCAAAGCUGAAACUUAAAGGAAUUGACGGAAGGGCACCACCAGGAAUGGAGCCUGCGGCUUAAUUUGACUCAACACGGGAAAACUCACCCGGGCCGGACACUAUGAGGAUUGACAGAUUGAUAGCUCUUUCUUGAUUUGGUGGUUGGUGGUGCAUGGCCGUUCUUAGUUGGUGGAGCGAUUUGUCUGGUUAAUUCCGAUAACGAACGAGACUCCAGCCUGCUAAUUAGUGCAUUUGUCCACUGUACCUGUGUGGGCGGCAUUGGAUAUGAGUGCUGAUGGUAGUGUUUACGGGCCUGUGUGCACGCGCGCCUCGUGUGUCGCGUGGAGGGGUUUUGCGAAUGCGUAAAACCAUUCGGCGGUCAGUCUGGUGUUAGCCCCCGGGUGCGGCGCGAAUGCUUACUUCUUAGAGGGACAAAUGGGAGAAGCCAUACGAAAUAGAGCAAUAACAGGUCUGUGAUGCCCUUAGAUGUUCGGGGCCGCACGCGCGCUACAAUGGCGGUGUCAACGAGUCAGACCUUCUGGCCCGAAAGGGUUGGGUAAACUGGUCAAUCACCGUCAUGACAGGGAUCGGGGCUUGGAAUUAUUCCCCGUGAACGAGGAAUUCCUAGUAAGUGCAAGUCAUAAGCUUGCGCUGAUUACGUCCCUGCCCUUUGUACACACCGCCCGUCGCUACUACCGAUUGAAUGGUUUAGUAAGGUCCUUGGAUUGGCGCCAUUGUGGUGGUCACUGAAAGGUGUCCGUCCGACAGGCGCUGAGAAGACGACCAAACUUGAUCAUUUAGA
RNAcentral lists this ribosomal RNA (2073 nucleotides) under Gryporhynchidae sp. G02. RNAcentral's name for it is "SSU rRNA". It matches the Rfam family "Eukaryotic small subunit ribosomal RNA". Lineage: Eukaryota; Metazoa; Platyhelminthes; Cestoda; Cyclophyllidea; Gryporhynchidae. RNAcentral also lists the same sequence under 1 other name. The record is from RNAcentral.